Molecule: ribosomal RNA, 262 nt
Filed under: uncultured bacterium
Lineage: Bacteria
Description: partial 16S ribosomal RNA
Rfam family: Bacterial small subunit ribosomal RNA
Source: RNAcentral
CUCCUACGGGGCGCAGCAGUAGGGAAUUUUCGUCAAUGGGCGCAAGCCUGAACGAGCGAUGCCGCGUGAGUGAAGAAGGCCUUCGGGUCGUAAAGCUCUGUUGCGGGGGAAAAAAGGCAGCAUCAGGAAAUGGGUGCUGACUGAUGGUGCCCCGCCAGAAAGUCACGGCUAACUACGUGCCAGCAGCCGCGGUAAUACGUAGGUGGCAAGCGUUGUUCGGAAUAACUGGGCGUAAAGGAUGCGUAGGCGGUUAAACAAGUUA